CGAUGUGAGGGCAAUCUGGCUGUGACAUCUGUCACCUCGUUGAUCACCAGGGUUGAUUUGGCUGAUCUGGCUGGCUAAGCGGGUGUCCCUUUCCUCCCUCAACACUCCACGUGCAUCCUUCCUGAAACUGCACUCUCGGUCGAAGAGGAUGACCUUCCCCAAUAGAGGAGGACCAGUCUUUGGUCAAGGGUAUACGAGUAACUGUGCUCUCCUGCUAGAACCUCCAAACAAGCUCUCAAAACAGGCAAUCAAUCAAUCAAUCAAUCAAUCAAUCAAUCAAUCAAUCAUGGGGUCUGAAGAGAUGACUCAGUAGUU
RNAcentral lists this small nuclear RNA (315 nucleotides) under Nannospalax galili (Upper Galilee mountains blind mole rat). RNAcentral's name for it is "7SK RNA (ENSNGAG00000004575.1)". It matches the Rfam family "7SK RNA". Rfam says of the family: 7SK was discovered as an abundant small nuclear RNA in the mid-70s but a possible function has only recently been suggested. Lineage: Eukaryota; Metazoa; Chordata; Mammalia; Rodentia; Spalacidae. The record is from Rfam by way of RNAcentral.